GACGUACUUCCUCCGUCCGAAAAUAUUUGUCAUCAAAAUGGAUGCAAAGAGAUGUACCUAGACGUAUUUUAAUUCUAGAUACAUCCCUUUUUGUCCAUUUUAAUGACAAGUAUUUUCAGACGAAGGGGAUAGUAC
Molecule: non-coding RNA, 135 nt
Organism: Triticum aestivum (bread wheat)
Lineage: Eukaryota; Viridiplantae; Streptophyta; Magnoliopsida; Poales; Poaceae
Source: Rfam